RNAcentral lists this ribosomal RNA (253 nucleotides) under uncultured bacterium. RNAcentral describes it as "partial 16S ribosomal RNA". It matches the Rfam family "Bacterial small subunit ribosomal RNA", at positions 524 to 776 of the family's 1533-position model. The record is from RNAcentral.
UACGUAGGGUGCGAGCGUUAAUCGGAAUUACUGGGCGUAAAGCGUGCGCAGGCGGUUUGCUAAGACCGAUGUGAAAUCCCCGGGCUUAACCUGGGAACUGCAUUGGUGACUGGCAGGCUAGAGUAUGGCAGAGGGGGGUAGAAUUCCACGUGUAGCAGUGAAAUGCGUAGAGAUGUGGAGGAGUACCGAUGGCGAAGGCAGCCCCCUGGGCCAAUACUGACGCUCAUGCACGAAAGCGUGGGGAGCAAACAGG